AAGAUUCCUCCUACAGCCCAUGGGGAGUCCUCAGCACCCAUGAAAGUGAAAUACACGAUGUGGCAUGCUGAGAAAGGAGCCACACAGCUACCAGCCACAUCAGCCUUUCCUUCAGAGAUAGGAUCCAGGCAGAGCUCCAACUAUGCAACGCAGUUAGGAAGUGGGAGAGCUACCUGAAAAUGUUGCCCCAUCCCUGAAUUAGAGAAUCCCUCCAGCAGUCAUCCUCUCA
Molecule: long non-coding RNA, 229 nt
Organism: Passer domesticus (house sparrow)
Lineage: Eukaryota; Metazoa; Chordata; Aves; Passeriformes; Passeridae
Exons: 2
Source: RefSeq, a predicted model, not a curated record